This is a long non-coding RNA of Helianthus annuus (common sunflower), 804 nucleotides long. RefSeq lists it as uncharacterized. The transcript has 3 exons. NCBI's taxonomy places the organism in Eukaryota, Viridiplantae, Streptophyta, Magnoliopsida, Asterales, Asteraceae. The record is from RefSeq and is a predicted model, not a curated record.
GCUUAUGUUCAACUCGGUUUAAUAUUUCUACAAAUCUAAAGAUCGUGAACCCUUAAAUUAGGGUUUUAGGGCACAUAUUAAAGAAACUACACAGACAAAAUGAGAAGAAUAAUCUUUGUAGCUCGUUAGAAAAUACCCAUCUCCUAAUUUCAAUCGGGACAGUCUCCUUCCAAUCCGAAUCAUUGUUUCUUCUCAUCAGGAACUGUAGACAAUGCAUCUGUUAUGGAACCCUAACUGGAAUUCAAAGAAGUUCAGAGGGCUCAUUCGGUUCGACGUCAAAAACCAGUCUUUCUUCCAAGACGGAUACGCGAUGGCCAGGGCUCAUUCGCCUUGACGACGUCUGGACGUGUGCCCCAUGAUCAACCCUACGAUGAAUUUUCGGGUGAUGUUGAGAAGGUUUAUAGGAUUUGAAGGAAGUUUCACACACGGGUUCCGAAAUUGGAACUUGCUUUGCAACAUUCCGGUGAUGUAGUCCGCUCAGGGUUGACAGAACGCGUGUUUAGGGUUGUUCAUUUUUAUCUAAAACCCGAAACCUGACCCGAAUUCAAAGCCACCCGAACCCGAAUUAGCGAAUACCCGAAAAAGUGAACCCAGUGAAAAAAUUCCUAGAUCCGCCACUGGUUGGGAGUUGUCCUAGUACCUUUUUUAUUAUUGAAUGCUUUUGUUCUGUUGAUAAGGAGCCUUGUCGUGUGCAUGAAUAUUAUGCAUGCAUCUUCUUGUAAAAUACCAUUUGACAAGGUUUGAAUUCAAGACCUCCCUUUCAAGAGGUUUGUGCCUUUAACAAGUGAGCUAGUCUCAUAUUAA